RNAcentral lists this ribosomal RNA (246 nucleotides) under uncultured bacterium. Its description in RNAcentral is "partial 16S ribosomal RNA". It matches the Rfam family "Bacterial small subunit ribosomal RNA", at positions 93 to 339 of the family's 1533-position model. The record is from RNAcentral.
GACCGGCGCACGGGUGCGUAACGCGUAUGCAAUCUACCUUUUACAGAGGAAUAGCCCAGAGAAAUUUGGAUUAAUGCCUCAUAGUAUUAUGAAAUGGCAUCAUUUUAUAAUUAAAGUCACAACGGUAAAAGAUGAGCAUGCGUCCCAUUAGCUUGUUGGUAAGGUAACGGCUUACCAAGGCAACGAUGGGUAGGGGUCCUGAGAGGGAGAUCCCCCACACUGGUACUGAGACACGGACCAGACUCC